CGGUGAACGCCUCUUUCUUGUUGCUGAGUCUAGUCUGCGAGAGCUCCUGUCAGUCUGUUGACUGCAACUGGAGAUACUGAGUGACAAGACAAAAUAUUCCCCGACACUGCAAAGGUUUAUCCGUACACCACACACCUAUAGUAUCCUCGAAAACCUCUGAUGGGAGGCAAGGGGGAUGACCAAGGGCUCACUUACACGAAGUGUGCCUAUGUCAGCAAAAUUUUCGUCUUGCCACUACAUGUCUCCAGUUCCAGCCAUCAGUAUGCACCAGCUCUUGUCAAGACACCCUUGUUUCGAUGGUCCUAACGCUGAUAGCCUUGAUAAGACAUCGACGGGAACUCCCUCCUGAUUGCUCGGACAACGCAUCCAGGGAUCUGUCGCCUGUUCCUUGGAACAAGCAUCAUAUCUUGUGGGCAUUUGGAUACCUGCCAAAUCUCCCGCAGUGUUGGGAAGAUAAUGGCCAGAACAGAAGAACAGACACUAUCCCAACCUUGGAGUUCAAAGCCUGUGCAUUCCUUCCUUAGUUCCAUGGUCUCCCGCAGUUUGAAUGUGGAAGGUUGGCAGGUGUGCAACAUAGUACAACAGAAAAAUGGUCUACCUCUUUCAAGGACAUGAGCAUUUGACCUGCAGAGACAAGGCAGUUACUGAACAAAGGGUACUCUUCACAAGUUAAGCUACUUCGCAAAACAUUUAACGAAGCUACAGCUGUGGUGUCAAACCGUGUGCGGUACAGCGCAAUGGAGAUCGUUGACAUGCACUAUGGAAUGUCUGUGCAAGUGGCUCUACGCAAGGCCAGAAGAUUGAAUGUAGGUGACCAAAGCGCUCAGCUCCUGGCACCACUGAUCGGCCCCAUGACUGAGUUGGUUACACUCAUGCUGCACAGAGGGAGGAACAGGGACAUGCAAACAUAAUGUAAGUUCAGCUACAUGUCGUGUAGUCGAGUGUCGUGCUAAGAUCAUCUAACGGCACAACAUGCUUGAGCUCGUUUAGUCUUGUGAGGACACACAUCAGUGGCAAUGUAAAUAACUUUGCUUUCAGGCAACUUACUAAAGAUGAACGGUCACUUAAGUUGAAUUUAAUACUUAAUUCAGCUUCACUAAACUACGUCACAAGCUAAAGUCUGUAAAAAAGAAUUUAGCGCUAAUUUCAAGUUCUGUCAAGCCUUGAUCUCGGAUCAAAGUUAACCUGCGUUGGUGAAACCGGGCCGAAGUUUGCAUGUCUAAGCCUUUUUAAUGCGUACUAGGAACUACUGCCCUUCUGUGGUGGAUACUAACCUUGCGAGUGAUCUUGAAAACAAUUAAACUUGCAGUAUGAGGCUGUCCAGAAUAAAAUGCUUUCAACUGAAUUCUUGAAGUGGGCAUUGCAAAUACAUAGCUAUUUAUGUGUCUCUGGUAUUAAUACUUGAAACUCACUCUUAUAGAGACAGUACCAAACUAAGCAACGGGGACCUGCCAAGAAUGUGUCACGAAGGUCAGAAGGCAGAUACAUGGUUUGGAUGAGGCGCUCUUUAUGUUUAUGUAUGUGUUAAAACUUAAAAGUAUCUGUCCACAAUUCUAUUGUGUAUGCGCAUUGCCUGAGAUGUUGAAGUGUCACGGCUGGGAUUAUCGGCAGCUCCAAAAUCGUCCUCGUCAGAUUCCUCAUGGUCACUGUCAUUUUCUACAGUCAUCACGUCAGGCUCCUCUGUUGGCAUAGGCAAAUUGUAAGAGUGACAUAUGUUGUGCAGAAUGGCACAUGCAGUAAUGAUGUUACAGGCCCUGUCUGGUGCAAAGUGUAAAGUGCGGUAACGCUGCAAGCACCUGAAGCGCAUCUUCAACACUCCAAAACACUGCUCGAUCCGAACUCUGGUGCUGCUGUGAGCCUUGUUGAAUGCUUCCUCUUUGUCUGUUCUAGGAGACCGAAAAGGAGUCAUGAGACAGGGCUCAAGUGGGUAACCGAGGUCCCCUGUAAAUCAUAUACAAAGUAACAUGUUAACUUCCUUCUGUGAUACUCAUCCUUUAACCAAAUUUUUGAAACCAAACUAUUUUCAUUGUACACAUCUUUUCAACAAGUUUCGUGUUUUUUAAAGACAGUUUCUUCCUUAAAGGGGUUGCGACAGGUCAUUCCAGGAUAUUUGACAUAAUCGAAAAAGACAGUUCUUUGCACCCAUGUCAACCUGCAUUGAAAGUUUCACUUAGUAUUCUAACAUGCAGUGCAAUGCAUUCAUGAUGUAAUGAACUACAUGUGUGAAAGUGUCCCAGCCCCUUUAAGCUGAUCCUGUAACAAACAUUCGUCUCUUUAAAAACAGAUUUUGUACUAAACGGUCCAAUCACGACCUACUAGAUACUCACGACCUGCGCAUUUGCUUCUCGCCCAAUGGGACUUCCGUCCGCGCCGGAAGUCGGAGCGUUGACGCCUCGCGCCGCGAGGGGCCGCUAGUAACGUGCCAUACCGAGCGCGCUUGUGGUGUGUUCGUAUGGGGCGCAGGACGGCUAAUUUGCAAUUUUGCGGUAAUACACUGCUUUUUUCUGCAAUAUGUGAACAUGCUAGGAUACCUACAGCACUAUAUGAGGCUCUACCACAUGUCAAGGGGAGACUGUGUCGUUUGGAGGACGUGAUAUUGUGGUAAUGUUGUAGAGGUAUUAGCCUAUGCAGUACAAAUGCCUCCGAUGCGGGGAAAAAUCAGCAGGAGCACAAGCCUUGCGAUUUAGUCAUCCUUCCAAGCCCUGUAGGGACCUUAUUUUAUACGAUGGUCAUUCUUGAAUGAUUGUCAUGAGAACGGGAUUCGCUCAUAUAUGUUAGUAUAGCAUGCAUGUGAGCCACGAAGCGGGGGCAUAUUUCGUUUAUCCGAUGAAGUCUGUUUCGUGAUAUAAAGGAGUGUGAAUGUAAUGAAAACAGGAGUCGCAAAGCUAGUCAAAAAUUAAUGGUCUAUUUCAUUCGACAACUUUGUCCUUCCAUUCACAAGAUGUGGGUUCGAGGCCUACAGCUGGCUAACCUUUUCAGUGACUUCCUUCUUUCAUUGUUCUUAGGCACUUAAGGCUUGUCCUUUCUUUUGUGUUCCAGCCUCAGAACAUAAAUUUUCAUAUGACAACAUUGCUUGUUUAUACAUUAUUUACAGACAAAGCUCACAUUUAAACAAAAAGCUUUCACAUAUAACAUGGCUGCUAAUGCAUUUACAUAGACAUUGUUAUUUACACAAAACUAACAUGAAAACAACACCCAUAUUUACAGUAUUUACAUGUUACUUAGAGGCUAAUUUGCCUCAAAACCCGUGACCUUUUGUGCAUUGUUCAUAGGAAGGAGCUCAUUAUUCACAUUUCUUUAACAGUACCAGUUCACUUUCAACACUUUCCUUGACUGAGGUUUUUCUCUAACAAUUUUCUCCUUCGCCUGUUUCUUCGUGUUUUCUUUGCACGCAUUUGUGAGGCACGGCCUCAUGAACUUGGUUAAUACCAGCUUCACAAGUGUGUCUGUGUGAGAUGGGUUCACAGAGCACUGGAAGAGCUCAUUUUUUCUUGCUUCUGGAGGUGCAAUCCUGCAAAGAAAAUAUGGCGCUGUAAUAAAGCAUUGAUAGACCAUAGCACCGACAUACGUUAUAAAACACUUAAAGGGGUGAGGUUUUGCAGGAUGGUUGGAAGCAUUUCCUGUGCGACCGCUUCCAAGCUCAUGAUGAAUCCCACAAAUCUAGCGGUAGGGUAGCUGAGUCCUCCUCUGUCAUUAUUCAGAAUGAGUCCAGUAAUCGGGGAUGAAGAUCCUGCUGCCUCUAUUCCCGAUAGGCACCAGCGCAUUCCAUCUUCUCCUUCACAACUCUUGCCAGAUAGCCGGCUAGAAGGGCCAGCGUUGCAGUUCGCAACCCAUGCUGAGGUUCAGCUGUAACAUGAGUAGGAUGCAUGAAAUUUGAGUUUAUCCUAAGUGAACGCGACAUGCAUCAUGAUUGUCGUUCAACAUUAUAGCAGAGCAUGACGUUGGUAGACAGACCGAAACCGAAACAGAUCGGAAAGGGAGAGCUGGGUUCCACAAAUUGGCAAUUGUUCGCAGCCUACUAUUAAAAGAAAAAUCGGCCCGAAGGUCGCGUCCCUUUCAGAGACCAUCGUAACCCCCUCAGGACCGUGGCUUUCGGGCGCGACCUUGUUCGUCACUAGCUUUGAACGUAGUUCAACUCUACCAAAUUCGUGGCGCUGUCAAACACUAUGACGUCAUUUGUUUACAAACAGGUAGAGGUAUAUUGCUGUUAUCCACUUUUGACAGAGCACUGGGUCCGACGGGAACUCAUGUAGCGAUGUUCCCUUCACACUCUUGCUUUUACAGCGUGGAACCACGCAAUACACCAUUGCGGAUGGCCUAGCACUGCUGCAUGCUGCUGCGUUUCUGCUUAAAAACACUUUAGGACGGCGAAAACCGCGCCGCAAACGCAACUUCCCAUGUGAUUCGUACGGGAGCGACAGCACAAGUAUGGCACGCUAUUAGCGCCACGGAGCAGCAGCGGCGGGCGCGCGAACUGCGAAACAGCGGCGCUGGGGAGAGCGCGAAUGGCAUGAUCGUGGAAGUACCUAGUAGGUCGUGGGUCCAAUGUGCAUUACUGGUAUCUUUACUUUCUUCAAUGUUGCUCAAGUAUGUUGAAGCGUGUUUAUUCUGUUAUUAAAGCAUAUUUAAGUGUGUUCAUUCCACGUUUGCAAGUUAUCACCACAUUCAUUUACUGUUUGUAUUACAAUUUCGUUAU
Long non-coding RNA from Ornithodoros turicata, 4696 nucleotides. RefSeq lists it as uncharacterized. NCBI's taxonomy places the organism in Eukaryota, Metazoa, Arthropoda, Arachnida, Ixodida, Argasidae. The record is from RefSeq and is a predicted model, not a curated record. The transcript is spliced from 5 exons.